GACGAACGCUGGCGGCGUGCCUAACACAUGCAAGUCGAACGGGCAUACUUAAUAGCUUGCUAGAGAGUAUGUUAGUGGCGGACGGGUGAGUAACGCGUAUGCAACCUGCCCAGUACAGGGGGAUAGCCCGGAGAAAUUCGGAUUAAUACCCCAUAAUGAUAAGAGAUGGCAUCAUUUUUUUAUUAAAGUUACGGCGGUACUGGAUGGGCAUGCGUGACAUUAGCUAGUUGGUACGGGUAACGGCCUACCAAGGCAUCGAUGUCUAGGGGUCCUGACGAGGGUGAUCCCCCAACUGGUACUGAGACACGGACCCGACUCCUACGGGAGCAGCAGUAAGGAUAUUGGUCAAUGGAGGGAACUCUGAACCAGCCAUCCCGCGUGAAGGAUGAAGGGGCUCUGCCUUGUAAACUUCUUUUGCCAUGGGACGUAAAAACUUAUUUAUUAAGGACUGACGGUACCAUGAGAAUAAGCACCGGCUA
Molecule: ribosomal RNA, 479 nt
Filed under: uncultured bacterium
Lineage: Bacteria
Description: bacterial SSU rRNA
Rfam family: Bacterial small subunit ribosomal RNA
Source: RNAcentral